Molecule: ribosomal RNA, 2878 nt
Filed under: Alteromonas sp. MMG017
Lineage: Bacteria; Pseudomonadati; Pseudomonadota; Gammaproteobacteria; Alteromonadales; Alteromonadaceae
Also listed under: 1 other name
Description: 23S ribosomal RNA
Rfam family: Bacterial large subunit ribosomal RNA
Source: RNAcentral
GGUUAAGUGACUAAGCGUAUACGGUGGAUGCCUUGGCAGUUAGAGGCGAUGAAGGACGUGUAAGUCUGCGAAAAGCUGUGGUGAGCCGACAAAAUGCAUUUGAGCCACAGAUGUCCGAAUGGGGAAACCCACCUAUUUAUAGGUAUCGUUACAUGAAUAUAUAGUGUAACGAGGCGAACGAGGGGAACUGAAACAUCUAAGUACCCUUAGGAAAAGAAAUCAACCGAGAUUCCCCUAGUAGCGGCGAGCGAACGGGGAUUAGCCCUUAAGCAAUUAUGAACGUAGUGGAAGCCUCUGGGAAGUGGCGCGAUACAAGGUGAUAGCCCUGUACACGAAGUGUUUGUUUUUGUGAAAUCGAGUAGGUCGGGACACGUGUUAUCUUGACUGAAUAUGGGGGGACCAUCCUCCAAGGCUAAAUACUCCUAACUGACCGAUAGUGAACCAGUACCGUGAGGGAAAGGCGAAAAGAACCCCUGUGAGGGGAGUGAAAUAGAACCUGAAACCGUAUACGUACAAGCAGUGGGAGCAGACUUGUUCUGUGACUGCGUACCUUUUGUAUAAUGGGUCAGCGACUUAUAUUUAGUAGCAAGGUUAAGCGAAUAGCGGAGCCGUAGCGAAAGCGAGUGUUAACUGCGCGUUUAGUUGCUAGGUAUAGACCCGAAACCCGGUGAUCUAGCCAUGGGCAGGUUGAAGGUUGAGUAACAUCAACUGGAGGACCGAACCCACUAACGUUGAAAAGUUAGGGGAUGACUUGUGGCUGGGGGUGAAAGGCCAAUCAAACCGGGAGAUAGCUGGUUCUCCCCGAAAUCUAUUUAGGUAGAGCCUCGGACGAAUUCCAUUGGGGGUAGAGCACUGUUAAGGCUAGGGGGUCAUCCCGACUUACCAACCCUUUGCAAACUCCGAAUACCAAUGAGAACUAUCCGGGAGACACACGGCGGGUGCUAACGUCCGUCGUGAAGAGGGAAACAACCCAGACCGCCAGCUAAGGUCCCAAAAUAUUGCUAAGUGGGAAACGAUGUGGGAAGGCAUAGACAGCUAGGAGGUUGGCUUAGAAGCAGCCACCCUUUAAAGAAAGCGUAAUAGCUCACUAGUCGAGUCGGCCUGCGCGGAAGAUGUAACGGGGCUAAGCAAUAUACCGAAGCUGCGGAUACGUGUUUACACGUAUGGUAGGGGAGCGUUGUGUAAGUGGAUGAAGGUGAAUCGAGAGGUUUGCUGGACAUAUCACAAGUGCGAAUGCUGACAUGAGUAACGAUAAUGGGAGUGAAAAACUCCCACGCCGGAAGACCAAGGUUUCCUGUCCCAUGCUAAUCAGGGCAGGGUAAGUCGGCCCCUAAGGCGAGGCAGAAAUGCGUAGUCGAUGGGAAACGGAUUAAUAUUUCCGUACUUAUAUAAUCAGUGAUGGAGGGACGGAGAAGGCUAAGCAAGCUUGGCGUUGGUUGUCCAAGUGAAAGCAAGUAGGCCGAGAAUUUAGGUAAAUCCGGAUUCUUAAAGCUGAGAUGCGAGACGAGCUACUACGGUAGUGAAGUUGUUGAUGCCCUGCUUCCAGGAAAAGCUUCUAAACUUAUGAUUAUAUGAACCGUACCCCAAACCGACACAGGUGGUCAGGUAGAGAAUACUAAGGCGCUUGAGAGAACUCGGGUGAAGGAACUCGGCAAAAUUGUACCGUAACUUCGGGAGAAGGUACGCCCUUGUUUGUGAUAGGACUUGCUCCUUGAGCAGAUGAGGGCCGCAGUGACCAGGUGGCUGGGACUGUUUAUUAAAAACACAGCACUCUGCUAACUCGCAAGAGGACGUAUAGGGUGUGACACCUGCCCGGUGCCGGAAGGUUAAUUGAUGGGGUUAUCUUCGGAGAAGCUCUUGAUCGAAGCCCCGGUAAACGGCGGCCGUAACUAUAACGGUCCUAAGGUAGCGAAAUUCCUUGUCGGGUAAGUUCCGACCUGCACGAAUGGUGUAACCAUGGCCACGCUGUCUCCACCCGAGACUCAGUGAAAUUGAAAUCGCAGUGAAGAUGCUGUGUACCCGCACCUAGACGGAAAGACCCCGUGAACCUUUACUACAGCUUGGCACUGAACAUUGAACCUACAUGUGUAGGAUAGGUGGGAGGCUUCGAAGCACAGUCGCUAGAUUGUGUGGAGCCGUCCUUGAAAUACCACCCUUGUAUGUUUGAUGUUCUAACAUUGGUCCCUUAUCGGGAUUAUGGACAGUGUCUGGUGGGUAGUUUGACUGGGGCGGUCUCCUCCCAAAUAGUAACGGAGGAGCACGAAGGUUAGCUAAUCACGGUCGGACAUCGUGAGGUUAGUGCAAUGGCAUAAGCUAGCUUAACUGCGAGACAGACACGUCGAGCAGGUACGAAAGUAGGUCAUAGUGAUCCGGUGGUUCUGUAUGGAAGGGCCAUCGCUCAACGGAUAAAAGGUACUCCGGGGAUAACAGGCUGAUACCGCCCAAGAGUUCAUAUCGACGGCGGUGUUUGGCACCUCGAUGUCGGCUCAUCACAUCCUGGGGCUGAAGUCGGUCCCAAGGGUAUGGCUGUUCGCCAUUUAAAGUGGUACGCGAGCUGGGUUUAGAACGUCGUGAGACAGUUCGGUCCCUAUCUGGUGUGGGCGUUGGAUGAUUGAUGGGAGCUGCUCCUAGUACGAGAGGACCGGAGUGGACGAACCGCUGGUGUUCGGGUUGUCAUGCCAAUGGCAUUGCCCGGUAGCUACGUUCGGAACGGAUAACCGCUGAAAGCAUCUAAGCGGGAAGCCGGCCCAAAGAUGAGUCAUCCCUGACUUUUAAAGUCCGGAAGGGUUGUUAUAGACGAUGACGUUGAUAGGCAGGAUGUGGAAGCGUUGUAAGGCGUUAAGCUAACCUGUACUAAUUGCCCGAGAGGCUUAACCAU